Lagenorhynchus albirostris (white-beaked dolphin) is the source of this 908-nucleotide long non-coding RNA. RefSeq lists it as uncharacterized. The transcript is spliced from 3 exons. The record is from RefSeq and is a predicted model, not a curated record. Lineage: Eukaryota; Metazoa; Chordata; Mammalia; Artiodactyla; Delphinidae.
UACAGAUGUAUCACAGUCACGUGAAGUAUUGGGCGUCUCCUCUCUCCUCCCGUCCCCCACGACAAAACAAGAAAACCAGAGCUUUUCUUCUGAUAUGGAAUGCUGACUGUUUAUGUGGGCUUGCUGUGGAGGGGCAUUCCUUUUGUGCGGCAAGUGUGGGGAGUGGAAGAAUGUGUAUGUGUUGGCGAGGUUGGGAGGGUAGCUCACAGAGAUGGAAAGGACAGAGUGCUGCUCUGAUUCGCAUUUCAUUCCAGGAGUGUCUCCUCGUAAGUGAUGAUGCUAUAGGGAUGCAGGGCAUUGAUGAAGCCCCCUCCCUGCUGGCGGCCCCAAGCAGCCUCCCUGGUCCCUUGUGGGGGGACAGUGGCGAAGGAGCCUUACAGAGUGUUACAGACUGAACAUCCCUGUCCCCAAACUCACAGGCAGAGACAUCAGAGCUCGCUCUCUCCACCAUGUGAAGACACAGCAAGAAGGUGGCUGUCUACAAGCCAGGAAGGGAGCUCUCACCAGACCCCGACCAUGCUAGCACCCUGAUCUUGGACUUCCAGCCUCCAGGACCUGGUACGAGGCCACCCCCGUGCUGCUGAAUUAGCUACAGGAUCAAUGACACAAGCCUGACAGCGUCCCCAGAGAACCCAGGGGCGCCACCCAGCCCUGUGCCCAGGGAAGGGGGUGCACGUUUAUCGAGCUCCUGUUUGUACCAGAGACUAGGGACCAGAGUCUUCAUUUAAGUCACCCAUUCUCAAAAUGGGGUCCUCACAAAGCUCCAGGAAUUUUUCUUUACACAAGCUGACCAAAUGCAGAAACAGACAUGAGAAUCCAGCUGGCUUCGGGUACGCCAGACCUUAAAGAGAUCUGCACUAUUGUAAAACGAUGCCUUUCUUUGCGCAGAAAUUGUGUUGUUUUGGAAA